Molecule: long non-coding RNA, 3071 nt
Filed under: Marmota monax (woodchuck)
Lineage: Eukaryota; Metazoa; Chordata; Mammalia; Rodentia; Sciuridae
Source: RNAcentral
AGCAGACAACAGCACUCAAAUCAACUCAAAUCCUGCCUUAUAUUUUUUCUGUAUUUUUAUUGUCAUUAAAAAAAUGCUUCCGCCCAUGAGUGUAGCUCAUUUAUGAGUGUACACUUCAAAAGAACUUGCUUCAGUUUUCAGGAAGCCUCUGGAGCCUGGAAGAGGUCAGCAGCAGGUCCCUCCCCUGCCUGGUGGGCAGCGGGUGGGGCAGUCGGGCCACAGCCCUUCUGACCUGCCCAGCCCCAGAAGAAAAGCAAGCAGGGGCUGCCCCAGACCUCCUAACAUCCUGGCUGUUGGAGCAUUUUCCUCCAGACUGACCUUUGCUACACCGAGAUGGAAAUGAGCUGCGGUUGCCCUUGGCCCUGAACCCGGCUGGCUGCCUGCUCCUGUGACCUGGCUUCAGGAAAGAGGAGGAGGUGAGAAAUCAGCUCUAAGGAAACGCUGAGAGCCAGAAAGAAGGAUUGCAGUCGUGAGGCACGGGGGGUGGGGGGGACCAGACUCGGGCGUCUGAUAAGUAGGUUCAUUAGCUCCCUGACCCUGCUGACCUACCCAGGAAGCCCAAGGCAAGGCCUCUCCAUGCAGGGAUGGCCGCUACCCAGGCCAGAAGCUCAGACGGAACCAGAGGACGCCUUCUCCAAGCCGAGGGAAGCGCAGGUGUGACAGUGUGGGCCCUGCUUGUCUCUGUCCUGGGGGAUGUUUGCUGGGAAGAGAUUUAUCUGGAAAUGUGAAUCAGGUCAUACUCCAUCCACAGUCGUGUUGGAGAUAAAAGGCCUGAUGCGUUAGAGAACUGUAGAAAGCAAUCUGGAGGAAAACAUGUUCCUUGUUUCCUUUCACGGGAAGACCAGCUCAUGGGUAGGGAAUGUGAUUUUGAAUCUGGAUGCUGGUGACGUCUGUUGCUUUAUUCCAGGCAGCUGCCAAGCAUCAGCAGAUGGCAGGGACCGCCAGGAACAUACCAGGACAUGACCUGCCAUGUCCCCACUGUGAGCCAACGCUGGCUUAGGCUUGAGCCGGGCUGCAGGUCUUCAACCUACCAGCCACAGAGUCCCAGCACCUCUGCCCUCCCCAUGAGUGGAACCGGCCCCCAGGGGAUGUGGGGCCCCUGGCUCAAGAGUGGCUUCCAGCAGCCACGGGCUCAGGCACCCUGAGGUCACCACGGGGGGCUGGAGGCCAGCAAGGAGGCCACUGCUGAGUAGCCUUGAGGUCCUGCAAAGGGCUUUUGUGUUGUUGGCUCCCACAUCUCGGGGCAAAUCCAAGGACCUCGCAGUGACUCCAUAGCCUGCCCCUUGUCCCAAGGCCCUCCUUCUCACCAUGAUGCCUACUGCGGCCCCUCCCAACUCCACACCUGCAGGGACUCACCAGUGUCAGGCUUGGGCAGAAUCCUCUUCUCCCAAGUGACCCAGGGGCAAUAUCCCCACAUCGCGCAGAUUCUUUCUGCAUCACCCUCACAGUGAGGCCACCAGACAGUGACGGGCUGAUUCCCCCACUCUGCUGGCUCCGUUUCCUUCUGUGGCACAGCUCACCCUGUGGCUUAUGGAAAUGGACUUACACUUCAUUUAUUAUGUUUACUGUUCGGUUCCCCUUGGAACGGGAGCACCAUGAGGGAGGAGCGCUGUCUCUCUCACCUCUGCCUUUGAAGUGCAAACACGCCACAGAUGUGUUCUCAUCAGACCUGGCUCCUCGAGUGGGUGCUGCCCUCCCAUCCUUCCCAGGACAAUGACACCAGGGCGGAAGGUUGGCAAAGGAGGCCAGACCUGUAAAUAAGGGCUGGGGCUGACUCACCGACUCCACCACCUCUGACAAAUUCCAGGCCCAAACAGAAAGACGGCCUCAGCUCUGUGAUGCUCGUGUGUGUGUGUGUGUGUGUGUGUGUGUAAACCACAGGCGCUCUCCAUGACUUACGGGGACGGCACCAGCCUGAAGGGGAGCCCCAGAGCCGUGGUCCCACUGCCCUGAGUCCAAACAUUCUGGCUCCUUGUGGGCCCCGCAGCCAGUGGCUGUGACUCUGAAGCAGUUACCAGCACUUACACAUGAGGAAAGGGCUCCUUCAAGAAAAACAGGGCGGAGGGGCUGCAUACGCCCUGGGAUCCUGGGGAGACUUGUUCCCGUCCUUCCUGUGUUUAAUCAAGAGCCCUCUGAGGGGGCACGUCAUCUCUCUACUCGUCUUUCUCUCUUUCUUCACAUGCAGAACGUAUUUAUUUAUUUUCGUCUUUGUUAACAGGGAAGUUACAUAAAGUCGAAGGAAUUUCAAGACCGAGAAAAAAGACCUAUUCAGUGGAAGCUAACAAGUUCACUGCUGAUGGUGCAGUCUGAUUUAUCUAGAAGAAAGGACCGAAGGGGAAAUGGCAGCCCUGCAGUCGAUGAUAACCUCGGGUUAGCAUAAUAUAAACUGUGCACGUUAUUUUAUCCAUCGCAACUGAAUGAACCCUUGUGCGCCUGACGCUGGAAAUCAAGCCCAGGGCUGGGUAUGCAGAGGCCUCCAGGAGCUGUGUGCCGUCCAGAUGUCUGUGUGGCCACCACACAGAGGAGACCCGCCCGAUCCUCUGCCCAAGGACCUCACAAUCCGCAGCUCUUUUAAAUGGCUUUCUUGUCACACGGUCUCGCACUGUGACGCUUAGCAAGCUAAAAAUGCUGCUUCAUAAGAUAUAAAAUGUAGGAGCAAUGACUCUCCUACACACGGGUGUCAAAACAUUUUAUUUCACUUCAUUCCUAUUUCAAGGCAGAAUUUGGUUGAAAGUUUUAAAAAAAACAUACAUCAAACAGCCAGAAUCCAGAGGCCUACCCAAUGAGUUUGCUUAUUUUUCUUGGUAAAUUAACAGGUUGGUUGGGUAAUGUGCAGACAUAUGUUUAGUAUUAUGUAUCAAAAUCCCUGAAAGAAUUAAUAUUCUUGGAUUCCCACAGCUUCACCUCUAGAUACUAGAAACUAGAACUAACACACUAAACAUAUACAUAACAUAUAUUCACACACACACACACACACACACAGCCUGAGAUUUGUGUGCAAGGAUGUUUAAUGCAGUUUUCUUUACAACAAUGAAAAGGCUCCAACAAACAAAAUCUUAAAUAGCCAAAAA